Molecule: ribosomal RNA, 557 nt
Filed under: uncultured bacterium
Lineage: Bacteria
Description: partial 16S ribosomal RNA
Rfam family: Bacterial small subunit ribosomal RNA
Source: RNAcentral
UGGGGAAUUUUGGACAAUGGGCGAAAGCCUGAUCCAGCAAUGCCGCGUGUGUGAAGAAGGCCUUCGGGUUGUAAAGCACUUUUGUCCGGAAAGAAAUCCUUGGCUCUAAUACAGUCGGGGGAUGACGGUACCGGAAGAAUAAGCACCGGCUAACUACGUGCCAGCAGCCGCGGUAAUACGUAGGGUGCAAGCGUUAAUCGGAAUUACUGGGCGUAAAGCGUGCGCAGGCGGUUUGCUAAGACCGAUGUGAAAUCCCCGGGCUCAACCUGGGAACUGCAUUGGUGACUGGCAGGCUAGAGUAUGGCAGAGGGGGGUAGAAUUCCACGUGUAGCAGUGAAAUGCGUAGAGAUGUGGAGGAAUACCGAUGGCGAAGGCAGCCCCCUGGGCCAAUACUGACGCUCAUGCACGAAAAGCGUGGGGAGCAAAACAGGAUUAGAUACCCUGGUAGUCCACGCCCUAAAACGAUGUCAACUAGUUGUUGGGGAUUCAUUUCCUUAGUAACGUAGCUAACGCGUGAAGUUGACCGCCUGGGGAGUACGGUCGCAAGAUUAAAACUC